UACGUAGGGACCAAGCGUUGUUCGGAUUUACUGGGCGUAAAGGGCGCGUAGGCGGCAAUUCAAGUCAGUUGUGAAAUCUCCGAGCUUAACUCGGAACGGUCAACUGAUACUGUUUGCUAGAGUACAGAAGGGGCAAUCGGAAUUCUUGGUGUAGCGGUGAAAUGCGUAGAUAUCAAGAGGAACACCUGAGGUGAAGACGGGUUGCUGGGCUGAUACUGACGCUGAGGCGCGAAAGCUAGGGUAGCAAACGGG
This 252-nucleotide ribosomal RNA is filed under the name uncultured bacterium. Its description in RNAcentral is "partial 16S ribosomal RNA". It matches the Rfam family "Bacterial small subunit ribosomal RNA", at positions 524 to 776 of the family's 1533-position model. The record is from RNAcentral.